AUACGGAGGGUGCAAGCGUUACUCGGAAUCACUGGGCGUAAAGCGCGCGCAGGCGGCUAUUUAAGUUGGAUGUGAAAGCCUAUGGCGCAACCAUAGAACUGCAUCCAAAACUAUUUAGCUAGAGUGUGGGAGAGGAAGAUGGAAUUAGUUGUGUAGGGGUAAAAUCCGUAGAGAUAACUAGGAAUACCAAAAGCGAAGGCAAUCUUCUGGAACACUACUGACGCUGAGGUGCGAAAGCGUGGGGAGCAAACAGGAUUAGAAACCCUAGUAGUCC
Molecule: ribosomal RNA, 274 nt
Filed under: uncultured bacterium
Lineage: Bacteria
Description: partial 16S ribosomal RNA
Rfam family: Bacterial small subunit ribosomal RNA
Source: RNAcentral